AUUGAACGCUGGCGGCAGGCUUAACACAUGCAAGUCGAGCGGUAACAGGCCUUCGGGUGCUGACGAGCGGCGGACGGGUGAGUAAUGCAUAGGAAUCUACCUAGUAGUGGGGGAUAACCCGGGGAAACUCGGACUAAUACCGCAUACGACCUACGGGUGAAAGCAGGGGAUCUUCGGACCUUGCGCUAUUAGAUGAGCCUAUGUCGGAUUAGCUAGUUGGUGAGGUAAAGGCUCACCAAGGCGACGAUCCGUAGCUGGUCUGAGAGGAUGAUCAGCCACACUGGGACUGAGACACGGCCCAGACUCCUACGGGAGGCAGCAGUGGGGAAUAUUGGACAAUGGGCGCAAGCCUGAUCCAGCCAUGCCGCGUGUGUGAAGAAGGCCUUAGGGUUGUAAAGCACUUUCAUUAGGGAGAAAGGCUGUUUGGCUAAUAUCCAGGCAGAUUGAUGUUACCUAAAGAAGAAGGACCGGCUAACUCCGUGCCAGCAGCCGCGGUAAUACGGAGGGUCCAAGCGUUAAUCGGAAUUACUGGGCGUAAAGCGCGCGUAGGCGGUUAGUUAAGCGAGAUGUGAAAUCCCUGGGGCUCAACCUGGGCAUUGCGUUUCGAACUGGCUAGCUAGAGUACAGUAGAGGGUGGUGGAAUUUCCGGUGUAGCGGUGAAAUGCGUAGAGAUCGGAAGGAACAUCAGUGGCGAAGGCGACCACCUGGACUGAUACUGACGCUGAGGUGCGAAAGCGGGGGGAGCAAACAGGAUUAGAUACCCUGGUAGUCCACGCCGUAAACGAUGUCUACUAGUUGUCGGGGGACUUGAUCCUUUGGUAACGCAGCUAACGCGAUAAGUAGACCGCCUGGGGAGUACGGUCGCAAGAUUAAAACUCAAAUGAAUUGACGGGGGCCCGCACAAGCGGUGGAGCAUGUGGUUUAAUUCGAAGCAACGCGAAGAACCUUACCUACUCUUGACAUCCAGUGAACUUAGCAGAGAUGCUUUGGUGCCUUCGGGAACACUGAGACAGGUGCUGCAUGGCUGUCGUCAGCUCGUGUUGUGAAAUGUUGGGUUAAGUCCCGUAACGAGCGCAACCCUUAUCCUUAGUUACCAUCAUUUAGUUGGGGACUCUAAGGAGACUGCCGGUGACAAACCGGAGGAAGGCGGGGACGACGUCAAGUCAUCAUGGCCCUUACGAGUAGGGCUACACACGUGCUACAAUGGCCGGUACAGAGGGUUGCCAAGCCGCGAGGUGGAGCUAAUCUCACAAAGCCGGUCGUAGUCCGGAUUGGAGUCUGCAACUCGACUCCAUGAAGUCGGAAUCGCUAGUAAUCGUAAAUCAGAAUGUUACGGUGAAUACGUUCCCGGGCCUUGUACUCACCGCCC
RNAcentral lists this ribosomal RNA (1369 nucleotides) under uncultured bacterium. Its description in RNAcentral is "bacterial SSU rRNA". It matches the Rfam family "Bacterial small subunit ribosomal RNA", at positions 28 to 1395 of the family's 1533-position model. The record is from RNAcentral.